RNAcentral lists this ribosomal RNA (253 nucleotides) under uncultured bacterium. RNAcentral's name for it is "partial 16S ribosomal RNA". It matches the Rfam family "Bacterial small subunit ribosomal RNA", at positions 524 to 776 of the family's 1533-position model. The record is from RNAcentral.
UACAGGGGGGGCAAGCGUUGUUCGGAAUUACUGGGCGUAAAGGGUCUGUAGGCGGCCCACUAAGUCAGACGUGAAAUCCCUCAGCUUAACUGGGGAACUGCGUCUGAUACUGGAUGGCUCGAGUGUGGGAGAGGAAUGCGGAAUUCCAGGUGUAGCGGUGAAAUGCGUAGAUAUCAAGUGGAACACCAGUGGCGAAGGCGAAUCCCUGGAAAAUACCUGACACUGAGGCACGAAAGCUAGGGGAGCAAACAGG